AGGAAUUGGCGGGGGAGCACCGCAACGGGAGGAGCGUGCGGUUUAAUUGGAUUCAACACCGGAAAACUCACCAAGGGCGACUGUUACAUGAAAGCCAGGCCGAUGACCUUGCUAGAUUUUCAGAGAGGUGGUGCAUGGCCGUCGUCAGUUCGUACCGUAAGGCGUUCUCUUAAGUGAGAUAACGAACGAGACCCUCACCGAUAAUUGCUACCCCUUCCUCCGGGGAGGGGGCACAUUAUAGGGACCGCUGGCGCUAAGCCAGAGGAAGGAGAGGUCAACGGUAGGUCAGUAUGCCCCGAAUCUCUUGGGCUACACGCGCGCUACAAAGGGCGGGACAAUGGGCUCCGACGCCGAGAGGCGGAGGCAAUCCCGAAACCCGUCCGUAGUUCGGAUCGGGGGUUGUAACUCACCCCCGUGAAGCUGGAUUCCGUAGUAAUCGCGAAUCAACAACUCGCGGUGAAUAUGCCCCUGCUCCUUGCACACACCGC
Molecule: ribosomal RNA, 488 nt
Filed under: uncultured euryarchaeote
Lineage: Archaea; Methanobacteriati; Methanobacteriota
Description: bacterial SSU rRNA
Rfam family: Archaeal small subunit ribosomal RNA
Source: RNAcentral